CCUGUCCAGGGGCUUAGGGUUAGACUAGUGUCCUGUCCAGGGGCUUAGGGUUAGACUAGUGUCCUGUCCAGGGGGUUAGGGUUAGACUAGUGUCCUGUCCAGGAGGUUAGGUUUAGACUAGUGUCUUGUCCAGGGGGUUAGACUAGUGUCCUGUCCAGGAGGUUAGGGUUAGACUAGUGUCCUGUCCAGGGCUAAGGGUUAGACUAGUGUCCUGUCCAGGGGGUUAGGGUUAGAUUAGUGUCCUGUCCAAGGGUUUAGGGUUAGACUAGUGUCCUGUCCAGGGGGUUAGGGUUAGACUAGUGUCCUGUCCAAGGGGUUAGGGUUAGACUAGUGUCCUGUCCAGGGGGAUAGACUAGUGUCCUGUCCAGGGGUUAGGGUUAGACUAGUGUCCUGUCCAGGGGCUUAGGGUUAGACUAGUGUCCUGUCCAGGGCGUUAGGGUUAGACUAGUGUCCUGUCCAGGGGCUUAGGGUUAGACUAGUGUCCUGUCCAGGGGCUUAGGGUUAGACUAGUGUCCUGUCCAGGGGGUUAGGGUUAGACUAGUGUCCUGUCCAGGGGGUUAGGGUUAGACUAGUGUCCUGUCCAGGGGGUUAGGGUUAGAUUAGUGUCCUGUCCAGGGGUUAGG
This is a long non-coding RNA of Oncorhynchus tshawytscha (Chinook salmon), 623 nucleotides long. The record is from Ensembl. Lineage: Eukaryota; Metazoa; Chordata; Actinopteri; Salmoniformes; Salmonidae.